RNAcentral lists this ribosomal RNA (451 nucleotides) under uncultured bacterium. Its description in RNAcentral is "partial 16S ribosomal RNA". It matches the Rfam family "Bacterial small subunit ribosomal RNA", at positions 28 to 507 of the family's 1533-position model. The record is from RNAcentral.
GAUGAAUGCUGGCGGCGUGCCUAACACAUGCAAGUCGAGCGGCAGCGCGAGUAGUUUACUACUUGGCGGCGAGCGGCGGACGGCUGAGUAACGCGUAGGAACGUGCCCCAAAGUGAGGAAUAACUGCCCGAAAGGGUGGCUAAUGCCGCAUAUGAUCUUCGGAUUAAAGUCUUCGGACGCUUUGGGAGCGGCCUGCGUUAGAUUAGGUAGUUGGUGAGGUAAUGGCUCACCAAGCCGACGAUCUAUAGCUGGUCUGAGAGGAUGAUCAGCCAGACUGGGACUGAGACACAGCCCAGACUCCUACGGGAGGCAGCAGUGAGGAAUCUUCCACAAUGGGCGAAAGCCUGAUGGAGCAACGCCGCGUGAAGGAUGAAGGCCCUAGGGACGUAAACUUCUUUUAUAAGUGAAGAAUAUGACGGUAACUUAUGAAUAAGCACCGGCUAACUACGUG